This 1519-nucleotide ribosomal RNA is filed under the name Salmonella enterica subsp. enterica serovar Enteritidis. Its description in RNAcentral is "bacterial SSU rRNA". It matches the Rfam family "Bacterial small subunit ribosomal RNA". The record is from RNAcentral. Lineage: Bacteria; Pseudomonadati; Pseudomonadota; Gammaproteobacteria; Enterobacterales; Enterobacteriaceae.
CGCUGGCGGCAGGCCUAACACAUGCAAGUCGAACGGUAACAGGAAGCAGCUUGCUGCUUCGCUGACGAGUGGCGGACGGGUGAGUAAUGUCUGGGAAACUGCCUGAUGGAGGGGGAUAACUACUGGAAACGGUGGCUAAUACCGCAUAACGUCGCAAGACCAAAGAGGGGGACCUUCGGGCCUCUUGCCAUCAGAUGUGCCCAGAUGGGAUUAGCUUGUUGGUGAGGUAACGGCUCACCAAGGCGACGAUCCCUAGCUGGUCUGAGAGGAUGACCAGCCACACUGGAACUGAGACACGGUCCAGACUCCUACGGGAGGCAGCAGUGGGGAAUAUUGCACAAUGGGCGCAAGCCUGAUGCAGCCAUGCCGCGUGUAUGAAGAAGGCCUUCGGGUUGUAAAGUACUUUCAGCGGGGAGGAAGGUGUUGUGGUUAAUAACCGCAGCAAUUGACGUUACCCGCAGAAGAAGCACCGGCUAACUCCGUGCCAGCAGCCGCGGUAAUACGGAGGGUGCAAGCGUUAAUCGGAAUUACUGGGCGUAAAGCGCACGCAGGCGGUCUGUCAAGUCGGAUGUGAAAUCCCCGGGCUCAACCUGGGAACUGCAUUCGAAACUGGCAGGCUUGAGUCUUGUAGAGGGGGGUAGAAUUCCAGGUGUAGCGGUGAAAUGCGUAGAGAUCUGGAGGAAUACCGGUGGCGAAGGCGGCCCCCUGGACAAAGACUGACGCUCAGGUGCGAAAGCGUGGGGAGCAAACAGGAUUAGAUACCCUGGUAGUCCACGCCGUAAACGAUGUCUACUUGGAGGUUGUGCCCUUGAGGCGUGGCUUCCGGAGCUAACGCGUUAAGUAGACCGCCUGGGGAGUACGGCCGCAAGGUUAAAACUCAAAUGAAUUGACGGGGGCCCGCACAAGCGGUGGAGCAUGUGGUUUAAUUCGAUGCAACGCGAAGAACCUUACCUGGUCUUGACAUCCACAGAAGAAUCCAGAGAUGGAUUUGUGCCUUCGGGAACUGUGAGACAGGUGCUGCAUGGCUGUCGUCAGCUCGUGUUGUGAAAUGUUGGGUUAAGUCCCGCAACGAGCGCAACCCUUAUCCUUUGUUGCCAGCGGUUAGGCCGGGAACUCAAAGGAGACUGCCAGUGAUAAACUGGAGGAAGGUGGGGAUGACGUCAAGUCAUCAUGGCCCUUACGACCAGGGCUACACACGUGCUACAAUGGCGCAUACAAAGAGAAGCGACCUCGCGAGAGCAAGCGGACCUCAUAAAGUGCGUCGUAGUCCGGAUUGGAGUCUGCAACUCGACUCCAUGAAGUCGGAAUCGCUAGUAAUCGUGGAUCAGAAUGCCACGGUGAAUACGUUCCCGGGCCUUGUACACACCGCCCGUCACACCAUGGGAGUGGGUUGCAAAAGAAGUAGGUAGCUUAACCUUCGGGAGGGCGCUUACCACUUUGUGAUUCAUGACUGGGGUGAAGUCGUAACAAGGUAACCGUAGGGGAACCUGCGGUUGGAUCACCUCCUUACCUUAAAGAA